GAGAAGGCUCUGUAACCAGACGUACGUUAAAAGCCGCGUUCAGUUCCGACUGAGAACGAUUCACAACGCGAUCACUUGCGUUUGACAACUUCACAGGCGCACUCGACAUAGUCGCCAAAAACUUGUGCGCUUGCCGCUGAGGCACGCCCACCGUCUCUAAAAUUGGAAGUCACCUAUAGGCCGGGCCAUCGCCUAAUAGGUAGGACCGCGGAAUAUGUGGAGUAUAGGUGAUUUCGCGUAUAUGAUCGUAUACAACACACCUAUAGGCGAUCUGUUGUAUACAGCAUGGUCUAUAGGCCUGUAGGCUAUAGGUUACCAUGUGUACGCAAGAAAAGCUGUGAGAGCCUGUAAUCGUUGUAUACAGGUAUGCCUUUAUGUAGGCCGCUCGUAUAUACAGUGUUCGGGCCAAAGCUGCACUAGCUGCUGCGUGCGAAACACAUUUGACCUCCCUUAAAAUGCUGCAAACUAUGAGGUCUGUGCAUAUGAAACGUAUUGUAUUCACCCUUCAUGCCGAGGCACAUGCAUCGAUGGAGCCCAUGCAUUGCCGUCAGGUACCCCUCGUCCCUAAGAUCUACUGCUGUAACAACCACGCACACAUACUGCUAGUAGUCAUAAGAGCUGUAAUUCCUGUGACCUCUGGUGUCCUGUUCGCGCCAGUUGCACCUCAAACGCUUCCACAUGAACUGUUAAACUGUUUAAAAUUUUCGUAUUCUUAAGUAUCGCGCGUGUGUAUGCUUUGAAAAUACAGGAGAUGGAAAAGGUGCGCUUACAGCGCUAGCCGUCAGAGAUUUCUGGCUUACCAGGGUCUCAAGAUCUAGGGCCUCUUUCCGAAAGCACUGAAAGGAGUUUUGCAACGUUAUGUAAUCUUUUCGGGGACUUUCCAUGGACCUGCCGGCGAAGUAAGGGAAUGAUAUGCGCACGCCGCCGAAUAACUAAUUAUCAGUAAACAGUUAACCUGCAGGUAUCACGUUGAACUUCUUAAUGCAAUGCUAACAUAAACCAAACAGGACAAGCCUACAACAUGACUUCCAAAGGGUGGCAUGUAUGUUAGAAGCGCCCUGCAUUCCGCUAAGGUACAGCUUGUUAGCUAUUUGGACGGAACAGUCUUUUUUGCGUUCUUUUCCGAUUACCUCUUACACUGCUUGUCCUGCGCAUCCUUUACAUGUACUAUGGCUAAGGGAUCCCUUCCGGAUGAUGAAGAAUGUGCUUUAUGCUGGACCAAUUACACAUCACGAUCAGCAUCGAUUAAGCGGCUCCAGGAGCUGGUACCAGCUGGUACCGG
RNAcentral lists this long non-coding RNA (1282 nucleotides) under Volvox carteri. Its description in RNAcentral is "long non-coding RNA (VCAR_LNC003313)". The record is from RNAcentral. Lineage: Eukaryota; Viridiplantae; Chlorophyta; Chlorophyceae; Chlamydomonadales; Volvocaceae.